This 275-nucleotide long non-coding RNA is filed under the name Manihot esculenta (cassava). Its description in RNAcentral is "long non-coding RNA (MESC_LNC000385)". Lineage: Eukaryota; Viridiplantae; Streptophyta; Magnoliopsida; Malpighiales; Euphorbiaceae. The record is from RNAcentral.
GUUUUGCAGGGCCAGAGUUAGCUAUGAGAAAGAUCAGAGUCAGCAAGAGUAAAGAGUAAAGUCAGGGCUAUGAGUAUGUGUUUGUAAUAGAAGUUUAGUGGACAUGUAUCUUAAUGUAUUAUGUUGUAAGUUAAGUUAAGUUCAGUUAUGUAUAAGCAUGUUUUAACAUGGAAUGUAUUCAGAGUUAUAGUUUGUGCUUGGCCCUAGAGUUUGGAUAAUCCCUUUGUACAUGGAUCUUGUUUUAUGUUUCUUGAUGAGAAAUGUGUGGAACCAAG